UGGCUCAGGACGAACGCUGGCGGCGUGCUUAACACAUGCAAGUCGAACGGUGACGACGGGGCUUGCCCUGUCUGAUCAGUGGCGAACGGGUGAGUAACACGUGAGUAACCUGCCCUUGACUCUGGGAUAACCGCGGGAAACGGCGGCUAAUACCGGAUAUGAGACGUACAGGCAUCUGUUGCGUCUGGAAAGAUUUAUCGGUCAAGGAUGGGCUCGCGGCCUAUCAGCUUGUUGGUGGGGUGAUGGCCUACCAAGGCGACGACGGGUAGCCGGCCUGAGAGGGCGACCGGCCACACUGGGACUGAGACACGGCCCAGACUCCUACGGGAGGCAGCAGUGGGGAAUAUUGCACAAUGGGCGCAAGCCUGAUGCAGCGACGCCGCGUGAGGGAUGAAGGCCUUCGGGUUGUAAACCUCUU
This 418-nucleotide ribosomal RNA is filed under the name Cellulomonas sp. Its description in RNAcentral is "bacterial SSU rRNA". It matches the Rfam family "Bacterial small subunit ribosomal RNA", at positions 20 to 435 of the family's 1533-position model. The record is from RNAcentral. Lineage: Bacteria; Bacillati; Actinomycetota; Actinomycetes; Micrococcales; Cellulomonadaceae.